CCUACGGGAUGCUGCAGUCGAGAAUCAUUCACCAUGGGGGAAACCCUGAUGGUGCGACGCCGCGUGGGGGAAUGAAGGUCUUCGGAUUGUAAACCCCUGUCAUGUGGGAGCAAAUUAAAAAGAUAGUACCACAAGAGGACGAGCCGGCUAACUCUGUGCCAGCAGCCGCGGUAAUACAGAGGUAUCAAGCGUUGUUCGGAAUCACUGGGCGUAAAGCGUGCGUAGGCUGUUUCGUAAGUCGUGUGUGAAAGGGGCGGGCUCAACCCGAGGACGGCACAUGAUACUGGGAGACUAGAGUAAUGGAGGGGGAACCGGAAUUCGUGGGGUAGCAGUGAAAUGCGUAGAUAUCGAGAGGAACACUCGUGGCGAAGGCGGGGUCCUGGACAUUAACGGACGCUGAGGCACGAAGGCCAGGGGAGCGAAAGGGAUUAGAUACCCUAGUAGUC
This 446-nucleotide ribosomal RNA is filed under the name uncultured bacterium. RNAcentral describes it as "partial 16S ribosomal RNA". It matches the Rfam family "Bacterial small subunit ribosomal RNA", at positions 338 to 795 of the family's 1533-position model. The record is from RNAcentral.